Molecule: ribosomal RNA, 198 nt
Filed under: Triticum aestivum (bread wheat)
Lineage: Eukaryota; Viridiplantae; Streptophyta; Magnoliopsida; Poales; Poaceae
Description: partial small subunit ribosomal RNA
Source: RNAcentral
AUGAGAUCACUUGCUAUGAAGCUAGGUGUUACAGUCAGACGUAAUGUCAACAACAUGAAUGCAUUCUUUGGAGGACCGAUGGUUGCUAUAGCGUCUGAUAUUGUGUGGGUUAUGAAUAUUGUUCCUGAUAAAAAAAAACUGUGGUCACUUGGAGUAAUAUAUGACAUGGGCCUGAUUGGAGUUUAUCAUGACUGGUAA